CUUUGUACACACCGCCCGUCACACCAUGGGAGCGGGUUCUGCCAGAAGUAGUUAGCCUAACCGCAAGGAGGGCGAUUACCACGGCAGGGUUCGUGACUGGGGUG
Molecule: ribosomal RNA, 104 nt
Filed under: uncultured bacterium
Lineage: Bacteria
Description: partial 16S ribosomal RNA
Rfam family: Bacterial small subunit ribosomal RNA
Source: RNAcentral